Long non-coding RNA from Humulus lupulus (European hop), 320 nucleotides. RefSeq lists it as uncharacterized. The record is from RefSeq and is a predicted model, not a curated record. NCBI's taxonomy places the organism in Eukaryota, Viridiplantae, Streptophyta, Magnoliopsida, Rosales, Cannabaceae. The transcript is spliced from 2 exons.
UCUGCUUCUACUUCUGGGGGUCUCUACUAUUGGAGUACCAACCUUGCUGGCCCAAAAUGGUCACCAUUUGCUUCAUGGAUAAUUGGCUGGUAUAUUGAGAUGAUUUCUUUGGAGCAAUUCUUGACAACAUUUGUAGUUGAGGUCUUUAGAAUGGAAGAAUGUAUUUCACUAAUUUUUGUAUACAUUUCUUGUUUUGUAUUUAGUGAUAAAGGAAUCUGAAUUGGGCAUAAAUUAUGUUGUGAUAUGAUUUCUUAAGCCUAGACUAGUAGACUAAAUAUUGUAAUUACAUUUGAGUAAUUAAUAAAAAUCUAUUUAUGUUA